UGGGGAAUAUUGCACAAUGGGCGCAAGCCUGAUGCAGCCAUGCCGCGUGUGUGAAGAAGGCCUUCGGGUUGUAAAGCACUUUCAGCGAGGAGGAAGGUGGUGAACUUAAUACGUUCAUCAAUUGACGUUACUCGCAGAAGAAGCACCGGCUAACUCCGUGCCAGCAGCCGCGGUAAUACGGAGGGUGCAAGCGUUAAUCGGAAUUACUGGGCGUAAAGCGCACGCAGGCGGUUUGUUAAGUCAGAUGUGAAAUCCCCGGGCUCAACCUGGGAACUGCAUUUGAAACUGGCAAGCUAGAGUCUCGUAGAGGGGGGUAGAAUUCCAGGUGUAGCGGUGAAAUGCGUAGAGAUCUGGAGGAAUACCGGUGGCGAAGGCGGCCCCCUGGACGAAGACUGACGCUCAGGUGCGAAAGCGUGGGGAGCAAACAGAUUAGAUACCCUGGUAGUCCACGCUGUAAAACGAUGUCGAUUUUGGAGGUUGUGCCCCUUGAGGCGUGGNUUCCGGAGCUAACG
RNAcentral lists this ribosomal RNA (512 nucleotides) under uncultured bacterium. RNAcentral's name for it is "partial 16S ribosomal RNA". It matches the Rfam family "Bacterial small subunit ribosomal RNA", at positions 355 to 857 of the family's 1533-position model. The record is from RNAcentral.